This 336-nucleotide unclassified non-coding RNA is filed under the name soil metagenome. RNAcentral's name for it is "partial contains 5.8S ribosomal RNA, internal transcribed spacer 2, and large subunit ribosomal RNA". The stretch from base 1 to 120 matches the Rfam family "5.8S ribosomal RNA", at positions 35 to 154 of the family's 154-position model. The record is from RNAcentral.
GAUGAAGAACGUAGCGAAAUGCGAUAAGUAAUGUGAAUUGCAGAAUUCAGUGAAUCAUCGAAUCUUUGAACGCACAUUGCGCCCGGCAGUACUCUGCCGGGCAUGCCUGUUCGAGCGUCAUUUCAACCCUCAAGCCCUGCUUGGUGUUGGGGCCCCACGGCUGCCGUGGGCCCUGAAAGGAAGUGGCGGGCUCGCUACAACUCCGAGCGUAGUAAUCCAUUAUCUCGCUUAGGGCGUUGGGCGGCGCUCCAGCCGUUAAAGAACCAUCUUUAACUCAAGGUUGACCUCGGAUCAGGUAGGAAUACCCGCUGAACUUAAGCAUAUCAAAGCGGAGGA